This 437-nucleotide ribosomal RNA is filed under the name uncultured bacterium. Its description in RNAcentral is "bacterial SSU rRNA". It matches the Rfam family "Bacterial small subunit ribosomal RNA", at positions 28 to 458 of the family's 1533-position model. The record is from RNAcentral.
GAUGAACGCUGGCGGCGUGCCUAACACAUGCAAGUCGAACGGAUCCAUGCUGAAACCUAGUGAUGCAUGGAUUAGUGGCGGACGGGUGAGUAACGCGUGGAUAACCUGCCGUAUACUGGGGGAUAACACUUAGAAAUAGGUGCUAAUACCGCAUAAGCGCACAGUCUAGCAUGAGACGGUGUGAAAAACUCCGGUGGUAUACGAUGGAUCCGCGUCUGAUUAGCUUGUUGGCGGGGUAACAGCCCACCAAGGCGACGAUCAGUAGCCGGCCUGAGAGGGUGAACGGCCACAUUGGGACUGAGACACGGCCCAAACUCCUACGGGAGGCAGCAGUGGGGAAUAUUGCACAAUGGGGGAAACCCUGAUGCAGCGACGCCGCGUGAGUGAAGAAGUGCCCCGGCACGUAAAGCUCUAUCAGCAGGGAAGAAAAUGACGGU